UAAAAUAUAUAUUAGAGAAUAAAUACUUAACCCUCUUGAGACCAACCCAGUUGAAACAGCCUCUGGCUCUGUCAUACAAAUGUCUUGUUUUCAUAAGUUCUGAAUUAAAAUCUUCCACCAAACCUUAGUCACAAUUUAUGUUCCUAACACUAGCUAAAUGAUAACUAAGUUAUUUUACGAAGUUCUUUGUUAUAUUUAAAAUUA
This is a long non-coding RNA of Octopus sinensis (East Asian common octopus), 204 nucleotides long. RefSeq lists it as uncharacterized. The transcript has 3 exons. The record is from RefSeq and is a predicted model, not a curated record. NCBI's taxonomy places the organism in Eukaryota, Metazoa, Mollusca, Cephalopoda, Octopoda, Octopodidae.